CAGUCGCCACGGUAAUACGAAGGGGGCUAGCGUUGUUCGGAAUCACUGGGCGUAAAGCGCACGUAGGCGGAUUUUUAAGUCAGGGGUGAAAUCCCGAGGCUCAACCUCGGAACUGCCUUUGAUACUGGAGAUCUUGAGUUCGGAAGAGGUUGGUGGAACAGCUAGUGUAGAGGUGAAAUUCGUAGAUAUUAGCUAGAACACCAGUGGCGAAGGCGGCCAACUGGUCCGACACUGACGCUGAGGUGCGAAAGCGUGGGGAGCAAACAGGAUUAGAUACCCCAGUAGUCCCUGUCUCUUAUAC
Molecule: ribosomal RNA, 301 nt
Filed under: uncultured bacterium
Lineage: Bacteria
Description: partial 16S ribosomal RNA
Rfam family: Bacterial small subunit ribosomal RNA
Source: RNAcentral